RNAcentral lists this ribosomal RNA (226 nucleotides) under Chloropicon roscoffensis. RNAcentral's name for it is "partial Bacterial large subunit ribosomal RNA". It matches the Rfam family "Bacterial large subunit ribosomal RNA", at positions 2045 to 2282 of the family's 2925-position model. Lineage: Eukaryota; Viridiplantae; Chlorophyta; Chloropicophyceae; Chloropicales; Chloropicaceae. The record is from RNAcentral.
AAUUCUCCGUGAAGAUGCGGAGUAUAAGUGCCUAGACGGGAAGACCCUGUGCUUCUUUACUAUAACCUUUCAUUGAAACCUGGUCUCUCUUGUGUAGCAUAAGUGGGAGUUUCCUAAAAACCUCGGUUAUUAGGAGACAUCAGUGAAAUACCACUCUGGAUUUACUGGGAAUCUUACCUUUUUAAGAAAAAGGGACAUUGAAUGGUGGGUAGUUUGACUGGGGUGG